RNAcentral lists this transfer RNA (76 nucleotides) under Xanthomonas phage XacN1. RNAcentral's name for it is "tRNA-Sup". It matches the Rfam family "tRNA". Rfam says of the family: Transfer RNA (tRNA) molecules are approximately 80 nucleotides in length. Their secondary structure includes four short double-helical elements and three loops (D, anti-codon, and T loops). Lineage: Duplodnaviria; Heunggongvirae; Uroviricota; Caudoviricetes. The record is from RNAcentral.
GCUUUCGUAGCUCAGCGGUCAGAGCAAGAGCCUCUAAAACUCCGGGUCGUGGGUUCGAAUCCCACCGAAAGCGCCA